This 73-nucleotide transfer RNA is filed under the name Capra hircus (goat). It matches the Rfam family "tRNA". Rfam says of the family: Transfer RNA (tRNA) molecules are approximately 80 nucleotides in length. Their secondary structure includes four short double-helical elements and three loops (D, anti-codon, and T loops). RNAcentral also lists the same sequence under 1 other name. Lineage: Eukaryota; Metazoa; Chordata; Mammalia; Artiodactyla; Bovidae. The record is from Rfam by way of RNAcentral.
UCCCUGGUGGUCCAGUGGCUAAGACUCUGCACUCCCAAUGCAGUGGGCCCAGGUUCAAACCCUGGUUAGGGAA